UACGGAGGGUGUAAGCGUUAUCCGGAUUCACUGGGUUUAAAGGGUGCGUAGGCGGAUUGGUAAGUCCGUGGUGAAAUCUCUAAGCUUAACUUGGAAACUGCCAUGGAUACUAUUAGUCUUGAAUAUUGUGGAGGUUAGCGGAAUAUGUCAUGUAGCGGUGAAAUGCAUAGAUAUGACAUAGAACACCAAUUGCGAAGGCAGCUGGCUACACAAAUAUUGACGCUGAUGCACGAAAGCGUGGGGAUCAAACAGG
This 253-nucleotide ribosomal RNA is filed under the name uncultured bacterium. RNAcentral's name for it is "partial 16S ribosomal RNA". It matches the Rfam family "Bacterial small subunit ribosomal RNA", at positions 524 to 776 of the family's 1533-position model. The record is from RNAcentral.